Molecule: ribosomal RNA, 497 nt
Filed under: uncultured bacterium
Lineage: Bacteria
Description: partial 16S ribosomal RNA
Rfam family: Bacterial small subunit ribosomal RNA
Source: RNAcentral
GAUGAACGCUGGCGGCGUGCCUAAUACAUACAAGUCGAGCGAACGGACGAGAAGCUUGCUUCUCUGAUGUUAGCGGCGGACGGGUGAGUAACACGUGGAUAACCUACCUAUAAGACUGGGAUAACUUCGGGAAACCGGAGCUAAUACCGGAUAAUAUUUUGAACCGCAUGGUUCAAAAGUGAAAGACGGUCUUGCUGUCACUUAUAGAUGGAUCCGCGCUGCAUUAGCUAGUUGGUAAGGUAACGGCUUACCAAGGCAACGAUGCAUAGCCGACCUGAGAGGGUGAUCGGCCACACUGGAACUGAGACACGGUCCAGACUCCUACGGGAGGCAGCAGUAGGGAAUCUUCUGCAAUGGGCGAAAGCCUGACGGAGCAACGCCGCGUGAGUGAUGAAGGUCUUCGGAUCGUAAAACUCUGUUAUUAGGGAAGAACAUAUGUGUAAGUAACUGUGCACAUCUUGACGGUACCUAAUCAGAAAGCCACGGCUAACUACGUG